Molecule: non-coding RNA, 134 nt
Filed under: pig gut metagenome
Description: SAM riboswitch (S box leader)
Rfam family: SAM riboswitch aptamer (S box leader)
About the family: The SAM riboswitch is found upstream of a number of genes which code for proteins involved in methionine or cysteine biosynthesis in Gram-positive bacteria. The SAM riboswitch acts at the level of transcription termination control. The predicted structure consists of a complex stem-loop region followed by a single stem loop terminator region.
Source: RNAcentral
CUUAUCCAGAGCAACGGAGGAAUGGGUCCUGUGAAGUUGCGGCAACCCCUCGGUGCGGCGUGAUCUGCGCUGUGCCCUGUACGGUGCCAAUUCCCGCGGUAAGAGAUCGGAUAUCUCUUAGCCGAAAGAUGAGG